CUGGCCAUUGUCUCUUCCACUUCUAUCCUCAUAUCUUGUGGAGCAGACUGAUUUGGAUGUGCAUCAAGAUUACCCUCACUACCCUCACUUUGAUUAGGAACUUGGCUUUGUUCUUCAGUCUCCUCUCCAUUUGGAACUUCUGCUGUUCCACUGCUAUUCUGAUUAUGUUCUACCACCUCAGAAGCUGAUAUAGUUGUCUGAUCGAUUUGUC
RNAcentral lists this unclassified non-coding RNA (211 nucleotides) under Hevea brasiliensis (rubber tree). The record is from RNAcentral. Lineage: Eukaryota; Viridiplantae; Streptophyta; Magnoliopsida; Malpighiales; Euphorbiaceae.